CUGUUAGCCGUAUCUCAAUGAAAAGUCAGUACAACUGGAUGGAUCUUUCAAGGCAACACUUUUCACUCUCGUUUUUGCUGUCAUCGAGGGACCUCAGCUAUAGAUUGACACAGUCCACAGCCUAUAAGAAUGGGGUUCUGUUUAGCUGCUGUUUACGGAUUAACCUAUCUUUGUGCUGGCCAAGACUUUCAGAAAACACGUUUUUCUUAUCUGGUAAUCGGUGAGUUCAAAUCCAUAAGCCUGGUUUUUGUCAGAGGAAGAGAGUAGCUGAUGCGCGUGCGUGAAUCGAUCGACCCGGUGCUCACCUUUCAUUUUAUUCCGGCCCUUUCAUCGCAGGAUUUGCAGUUAAGGUGUGAUAUGCAGAUUGAAGAGAGCGGAAGAGACCACAAGAGAAAGCAUCGAGUUUUUGAUUUACGAUGAAAAUUGAUCAUUGAAUAGCUGUUGUCCAAAAUAUUUUGAGACCUCGAAAAAUAAUAUUUUUGUUGAAAUUGUAGUCUAAGAGAUUAGAAGGGGAUGUAAUUAUCACUGACAGCAAUUAUUAGACCCAGAAAGUCCAGUGGCGCCAGGGAUUGAUAAUCUAAGCUGUUAAACGCUGCUUAAACGGAUAAAACAGAACUUUUACCUAAAAAGGAAAUCAAAGCUAUUACGAUUUAGAUCACCCAGGAGAUCUUAGAACGUAACAAAUUCCUGUAUUACGAAGUGGCUCACAAAACGUUUUGAUGCUACAAAUAUUUAGAACAAAGGGCUAAUUAUGGCUAUUCCACUUUUUGAGUGAUUGUGACUUUUAAAAUCUCUCACACGAAAAAGCAGACAAUUUCUAUGCUCAAAAUAACCAAACCUGUUUCUUUUUUUGAAGGAUUCCCAUGUAAG
Molecule: unclassified non-coding RNA, 870 nt
Organism: Stylophora pistillata
Lineage: Eukaryota; Metazoa; Cnidaria; Anthozoa; Scleractinia; Pocilloporidae
Source: RefSeq, a predicted model, not a curated record